CCUACGGGAGGCAGCAGUGGGGAAUAUUGGACAAUGGGCGAAAGCCUGAUCCAGCAAUGCCGCGUGAGUGAUGAAGGCCUUCGGGUCGUAAAGCUCUUUUACCAGGGAUGAUAAUGACAGUACCUGGAGAAUAAGCUCCGGCUAACUCCGUGCCAGCAGCCGCGGUAAUACGGAGGGAGCUAGCGUUGUUCGGAAUUACUGGGCGUAAAGAGUACGUAGGCGGUUAUUCAAGUCAGAGGUGAAAGCCCGGGGCUCAACCCCGGAACUGCCUUUGAAACUAGAUAACUAGAGUCUUGGAGAGGUUAGUGGAAUUCCGAGUGUAGAGGUGAAAUUCGUAGAUAUUCGGAAGAACACCAGUGGCGAAGGCGACUAACUGGACAAGUACUGACGCUGAGGUACGAAAGCGUGGGGAGCAAACAGGAUUAGAUACCCUGGUAGUCCACGCCGUAAACGAUGAUAACUAGUUGUUCGGUCACUUGGUGACUGAGUGACGCAGCUAACGCAUUAAGUUAUCCGCCUGGGGAGUACGGUGCAAGNUUAAAACUCAAAGGAAUUGACGG
This 560-nucleotide ribosomal RNA is filed under the name uncultured bacterium. RNAcentral describes it as "bacterial SSU rRNA". It matches the Rfam family "Bacterial small subunit ribosomal RNA", at positions 338 to 916 of the family's 1533-position model. The record is from RNAcentral.